RNAcentral lists this ribosomal RNA (253 nucleotides) under uncultured bacterium. RNAcentral describes it as "partial 16S ribosomal RNA". It matches the Rfam family "Bacterial small subunit ribosomal RNA", at positions 524 to 776 of the family's 1533-position model. The record is from RNAcentral.
GACGUAGGGGGCCAGCGUUGCUCGGAAUUACUGGGCGUAAAGGGUUCGUAGGCGGUGUGGCAAGUCGGGAGUGAAAUCUCUGGGCUCAACCCAGAGGCUGCUUCCGAAACUGCCGUGCUUGAGUGUGGGAGAGGCGCGUGGAAUUGCAGGUGUAGCGGUGAAAUGCGUAGAUAUCUGCAGGGACACCCGUGGCGAAAGCGGCGCGCUGGACCACAACUGACGCUGAGGAACGAAAGCUAGGGGAGCAAACAGG